RNAcentral lists this ribosomal RNA (378 nucleotides) under uncultured bacterium. RNAcentral describes it as "bacterial SSU rRNA". It matches the Rfam family "Bacterial small subunit ribosomal RNA", at positions 790 to 1167 of the family's 1533-position model. The record is from RNAcentral.
GUAGUCCACGCCGUAAACGAUGAGAACUAGCCGUUGGAAACCUUAGAGUUUUUAGUGGCGCAGCUAACGCGAUAAGUUCUCCGCCUGGGGAGUACGGCCGCAAGGUUAAAACUCAAAUGAAUUGACGGGGGCCCGCACAAGCGGUGGAGCAUGUGGUUUAAUUCGACGCAACGCGAAGAACCUUACCUGGUCUUGACAUCCUGCGAACCUUUCAGAGAUGAGAGGGUGCCUUCGGGAGCGCAGAGACAGGUGCUGCAUGGCUGUCGUCAGCUCGUGUCGUGAGAUGUUGGGUUAAGUCCCGUAACGAGCGCAACCCUUGUCCCUAGUUGCUAGCGGUUCGGCCGAGAACUCUAGGGAGACUGCCGGUGACAAACCGGA